Molecule: long non-coding RNA, 1352 nt
Organism: Triticum aestivum (bread wheat)
Lineage: Eukaryota; Viridiplantae; Streptophyta; Magnoliopsida; Poales; Poaceae
Exons: 2
Source: RefSeq, a predicted model, not a curated record
AUAUAUAUGAUGGGUCUAUUAUGAUAACACUCCCUUAAGACCUUAUUCUACACACCAAAAAAGCUUAUUCUGAUAACACUCACCGACCCGAACACCCAGCACCGCCCGAACCCCGUAGAACUGGAAACCCACCCUAGCCGGCUACCCCCACGCACCCCACCCCCACCGAACCCAUGUUCUUCCCCGAUAAAUCCCCAUCCACCUCUCCUCGAUGCCCACGCCCCAGCGCCACCACCCCCAAUCCCCAGUGCCCACUCCAGGCAUCCCACAACCACCCCACCCCCGACCGACCGGCCUCCUCUCCUUCCCGGCCGGAGUCCCGUCCCACCACCACGCACUGAUGCCGCCCAUGUACAGGCGCUGCCACACGCCGGAUCCGGUGGGAUCCGUCGAUCCCCGCCUUCAACGCCCACAUCCAGGGCCGCCAUACGGCCGGAUCCGGCGAGCCCCGCCUCCACCACCCCGGGCUGGAUCCCACUUCACCAUCCUGCAACCGGUGCGCCGCGCCAACCCGGCGCCGGCCCAUGCUCGCGCCGCCCCGCUGCCUCCUGUCUCCCACAUCACCUCCCUUCUGCCGUCGAUCGACCCCGUCGCCAGCCUGGUCUCGCGCCACCCCUGUGAGGGUUAGCCGAUCCCCCACGCUCGGGUCUGCCCUCGUCCCCGAUCUGGAUUGAGCCGCCGCUGGGAAGUUCAGCGUCACGGCGGGACAUCGUGCGGUUUGGCGCCCUCCCUCGUCAUCGGUCACGGCACCGCAGCCACCGGCCUCGAGCGUCCGCUCCUCCACCUUGAUCUUAUGCUUGCCGGUGUCGCCCCGGCCGAUCCAGACAGUUGGGUGGGAGUUGGGGUGUCUCGGGCGUCCAGCCGUGGGUUCCCCCCGAUGAGUUGGACGUCUGCUCCCCUCUCUCUCCACCUCCCAUCCCCGCGGGAGCAGUGAGGCGUGUCCCUGUGCAGUGCAGUGACCCCCAAGAAACUAAGGUUGGCCUUGCAGUUCGCUGGCAAGAAUCUGCCUCUCCCCCUCCGUAGAUGCAGUUUGGCCAGAAGGGCUUUGUGAGAACAGAAAAAAUUGUUGGAGCAACUUCCACUUCCUCUGAAGUCCACUUCGCCUGCAGGAGCAACUUGCGCUUCCUGUGCAGCGACCUAUGCAGUGGAGCCACCCCUUGUGGAGAACAAAGAAAAUGCCGGAGCCCAAAACUCAGAGCUCCCAGUGAAGUUCAGCGUUUUUGGGUGUUCAGUGUGCUACCAAUAACCCAUGUAAUCCACUAUGUUCUCUAAUGCAGACUAUUGUACUACGUGAAAAACAAACUCUAAAGAGAAAAAAUAAAAAGGAAAAUGCAGUGUGCUUUGUUCUCUAA